RNAcentral lists this ribosomal RNA (253 nucleotides) under uncultured bacterium. RNAcentral describes it as "partial 16S ribosomal RNA". It matches the Rfam family "Bacterial small subunit ribosomal RNA", at positions 524 to 776 of the family's 1533-position model. The record is from RNAcentral.
UACAGAGGGUGCGAGCGUUAAUCGGAAUUACUGGGCGUAAAGCGCGUUCAGGCGGUUUGGCAAGUCGGGCAUGAAAUCUCUCGGCUCAACCGGGAGAGGUUGUCCGAUACUGUUAGACUGGAGGGCAGUAGAGGGUGGUGGAAUUCCGGGUGUAGUGGUGAAAUGCGUAGAGAUCCGGAGGAACACCAGUGGUGAAAGCGGCCACCUGGACUGCACCUGACGCUGAAACGCGAAAGCUAGGGGAGCGAACGGG